This is a long non-coding RNA of Herpailurus yagouaroundi (jaguarundi), 4340 nucleotides long. RefSeq lists it as uncharacterized. The record is from RefSeq and is a predicted model, not a curated record. The transcript is spliced from 3 exons. NCBI's taxonomy places the organism in Eukaryota, Metazoa, Chordata, Mammalia, Carnivora, Felidae.
GGGGGGCGAAGCAGGCAGCCCACCGGGACGGGCCAGUGGCCCAAGGCCGGACCCACCCCCCCCAGCAGACACCUGCUGCUCUUCAGACCGGGGCCCAGCCGGGCCACAUCCACACCCGGGCUCAGCAGCGGCUCAGGUCUCGCGUCCUCGCCUGGCCCCGAGGCACGUGACGACCUGGGCUCGUGUCCUCCAGCCGCACUCGUUUAAGCCACCGAGCCCCCAGAGCUCAGGCCGUGCAUCCUGAGUUGCGUGUCAGAGAGCAUCCAUCCUCGUGAGAUGGUCCCUCGUUCACCUCACAGCCACCACGCCACCAAGGACACAGCAUCCGGGGACACUUGUCAGCUCUGCCGGGACCCGGGAGCCGGAGCGCCCCAGGGCAGGGGAGGGAGGUGGGUGGCAGGAAGAGGAGGAGGAGGAGGAGGGCAGAGGCCUCGAGGACACCUCUGGCGGAGCCGCUCCACGGCCAGGGCUCAGUCUGCAGUCAGCUCACCUCGAGGAGGGGACGCCGGGACACCGAGGGCUAACACCCAGGCUACCGAGGACAGGUGGCGAGGCAGACAAGUGAAGAGAGACAGUAUGAAGACCACGUUCAAAGGGAAACAAACGACAAUGUAGUGAAAUGGACAGAUGGAUGAGGAGGGGCGGGAAAUCCUGACGGAUCCAGAACUAGUGAGGAGACCGCACCGGUGAGCACAACUCUCCCAACAAAGACAGGCCGUGGACCCGACGGCUCCGCUGGUGAAACCUACCAAACAUCUGGAGAAGUAACCCCGAUCGCUCCCAAGUUUCUCCAAAACACUGAAGAGGGGAACACUUCCUGCCUUGUGCUGCGAGGCCAGAAUGAAGCCAGACAAGGACGCUACACGUAAGGAGCAAGGAGCCCAGAUCGGCCUCCGUUGUGAGCACCGGUGCAGAAACGCCCGAGAAAAUACUAGCAGCCAGCUCAGUAGCCUGUCGGAAAGAUCACACACUGUGACCGAGUGGAACUGACGUCGGAAGGGGGGCCCGGCGUGGGGAGACCGGUCAGCUACAACCCGUCACGUCAACAGACUGGGGUAAAAACGCACGACCUGAGUCGCUGCGAAUAAAGCACGUGACAGAAUUGCCCACCUUUUCCUGCUAAAACCAGUGAAAUCAGGAACGCAGGGAUAGUGCCUGCACGUAAUAAAAGCCACACCUGCAAACCCCACAGCACACGCUACAUCGACGGGAGCUUUUCCUUCAUCGCAUUCGACGCUGUGCUAAACAGCACAGCCAGAGCAGCUGAGCGCGGAGGAGAGACAAAAGCCAUCGCAAUCGGAAAGGACAAGCAAAACCAUCUCUGCUCGCAGGGGAUGUGAACUUACGUGUAGAAAACUGCAAAGAUCACACAGGCACACACAACACGCCGGGUAGAUGGUUGCAGAAUUCAGCGAGGCGGGUGCGAGUCAAGAAGCACGAAGCAACUGCAUUUCUGUGUCGCCUGUAUCGUUUCCACCAACCGCGAACGGUCUUUAAAAGAAACGACUCAAACAAUUCCGUUUACAGGCGCAUCAGAAGGAAUCCGGGAGUUGUGAGUUAACAAAGGAGGCAAAAGCCGGGUGCGGUGAAACCUGAAGAUAUCAUGCCAAGAAAUGAAAGGAGGGAGGCACAGCCCCCGUCCUGGACCGCAGAGAAGCUGCCGGCACCAGAGUGAUGGAGAGAUUCAGCGCUGUCCCCCCAAACCCUGAUGGGGGCCAUCUGUACGAGGGAGUAUCACUCAGCCUUAUAAGGAAGGAGGUUCUGACACCUGCCCCAGCAGGGAUGGGCCCUGGGGUGGCCCAAAAACCUGCCCCUUGGAGCCCACGCGGAGGACGACCGUGGAGGCCAGGACCACGAUGGGGUCCGGGGGGGAAGGCGUGGCGUGUCAGUGGCCAGACCGCCGGCUCAGGGGAAGGAGCCGGACGAAGACGGCAAUGCUGAUCCUCCUGCCCCUGGAGUCCGGCCCUGGCAGGGGGCCUCACGGGGUGACAGGGCAGGCCCUGGUCCGUAGCGCACCCCUGCCCUCCCCGCCACGAGGGGGUGGCGGGACACUGCCCCCAGUGUUGGGGGCAAGCUCAGUAGAUACGGGGGGAAGCCUAGGAGAGUUUACCUCUUUCCUGUUGCAAAAAAGUUGUGUUCAUAACACUGAAUCCUUCGGGGGGGGGGGUCGUGUGACCUCACGGGGGCAGUGGCCACGUGCACCGCCCAUCCCCCGCUCCCCAGCCCCACAACCCAGGGCCUGCCCCGGUUGGCGCUCAGUGUGGAUCCACCGGGCGAACGAGAGAGCGGGGCCGACGGCCCCCCCCCCCGCUCGCAAGGCUCCGUCCUGUUCACGUGUCCCCCAAGAACCCGGCCCUGCCGGGUCCCGGCAGGCGGGAGGAGCCCGUGAUGGGCGAGGUCUGAACGCACCACGGGCCUCCAGGGUUUGGCCGUCACCUCCGCGUUCCCCAAGUGGAGACACGGGCACCGGCAUCUUUGUGGAGAAGGGGUCACCUGGCCACUAGGGGGUCCCCAGAAGAGCCGUCCUCGGGGCCUCCCUCCACGCUCUGCCUGCACAUCCACACACCAUCCGGCUUAUCAGUCAUUCCAUAGUUUUCGUUCUUGUUUUCAUGCAAUUCUUACCAUUUAAAUCCCUUCCACAGCUGUGCCCCGCGUAGACUCAAAGCACAAGAAACGUCUUCUGAAAGACCUCAAGAUAACGAACUAUCAGCGAUUGCUGAUCGCUGAGACCCGAAUCAUCUUCGUCUCACUCGUGGGGAGAACCUGGUCCGGAGCCACCCCCGCUCUCCCAGGGCUGGCUGCCUGAGAACACGGACUCCCCCCUGGAGGGGUGAGGUGUAGGAAUAAUUUAAAGCAACGCUAAUCCUCAAAUCCUGUUUGAGUUUGGAAUGCAGCGCGAGGCCCGGCGGGCCGCAUGGGGCGCUCACCGUGUGUGUAAGCGAGGCCCAGGCCCCGGGCGGGGCUGAGCUCGAGGUGCCCUGCUGCCCGCACGCUGGGAGGGGAUGGGGACGGGCAUGAGGCGGUGGGACGGAUGUUCGCCUGGAGUGCUGGGUGGGGUGGCACUCAGGGUCAAGGCCACAGCCAGGCCCUCAGAGCUGGGUGCCGCCUGCUGGGGCUGCGGGGGGCUCGCCGUGGCUCAAGCACCCCACGGGCAGGCUUGCUGGCCAGCCCGGCCCACCGCUCUCUCUUGAAGCCACCUGUCCACCGGCCUGGGCUCCGGCGGGGGCUGUGGCCCAGCAGGGGCCUUGGAAUGUUUUCACAGGAGGGCUGGAGGCUGCUGCGGGGCUGUGACUGGCCUCGACCGUCCACUUGCAGAGACCGGUGGCGGGGAGCCUGCAGGAGGACUGACCUCUGUCAUCCCGUGGUGUCACCCCUGAUUCAGGCCCUAAGCAAGCCCCAAAGGUGAACUAAAGGGCGCCCAGAGCCUGCCAACAGCUGUCACCUCCCCCCAGGCUCACUGCUCAAGCCUCUGCUGUCGCUCCCCACUUUCCACACCAGAGGGUCAGGGUCUGUGGCCCCCUUCCCAGGGCCCCACCCCCCUACCCUAUCCUGAGAGCCUCCCAUUGGCCCGCGGCAGGCCCACACCCCAGGUGCUCCCCUCCCCCCAGCUCCCCACUCUGGGUCCUUACCCUUCCUCGGUCCAGCUCAAUACCCCCCACCCCCUGGGAGCCGCACCCACCACCCCUGUGGAAGCCACGUGGCUCCCCCGCCGAUAGCACAGCCAGCCCAGGGGCCCUCUCGGCCAGCUCCACGUGGUGCGUGUGUGACCCCAGGUGAGGAAUUUGAGCAAACAUUUCUCUAGAGAAGACGUGACGGCCCACAGACACCCAGAAGGGUGCUCGCCAUCAGGGCGACGCGGAUCGGAACCGCGGUGAGAUAGCGCCGCGCGCCUGUCACGAAGGCUCGAGCAAGAAAAGAUAAGAAACCACAAGUGUCGGCGAGGACGUGGAGAAAGGGAGCCCUCGCGCGCCGCUGGAGGGAACGCAACCCGGUGUGGCCACCACGGAUGGAGCCCAGGUGGAGGUGCCUCGGAAAGUGACAGUUCCUGUAAGACCCAGGAACUCCAGUCCUGGGGAUUUAUCCAGGGAAGAUGAAGACGCUGAUUCAAAAAGAUACCUGCACCCCCACGCUCACUGCAGCGUUACUGACGACAGCCAAGGCAGGGCGGCGGCCGGAGGCUGCCCACAGAAGGAGAAGGAAACCCUGCCGUCCGCAACGACAGCUGGACCUCGAGGGCACCACGGCAAAUGGCAAAUGCCCCAGAUUUCACUCGUGUGGAAACCGCACAUACACGCGAAACCAAGCCCGUGGGUUCGGAGAACAGACUGACGGUUGCUGGG